This 485-nucleotide ribosomal RNA is filed under the name uncultured bacterium. Its description in RNAcentral is "partial 16S ribosomal RNA". It matches the Rfam family "Bacterial small subunit ribosomal RNA", at positions 30 to 508 of the family's 1533-position model. The record is from RNAcentral.
AUUGAACGCUGGCGGCAGGCCUAACACAUGCAAGUCGAGCGGAUGAAGGGAGCUUGCUCCUGGAUUCAGCGGCGGACGGGUGAGUAAUGCCUAGGAAUCUGCCUGGUAGUGGGGGAUAACGUCCGGAAACGGGCGCUAAUACCGCAUCCGUCCUGAGGGAGAAAGUGGGGGAUCUUCGGACCUCACGCUAUCAGAUGAGCCUAGGUCGGAUUAGCUAGUUGGUGGGGUAAAGGCCUACCAAGGCGACGAUCCGUAACUGGUCUGAGAGGAUGAUCAGUCACACUGGAACUGAGACACGGUCCAGACUCCUACGGGAGGCAGCAGUGGGGAAUCUUGGGCAAUGGGCGAAAGCCUGAUCCAGCCAUGCCGCGUGAGUGAAGAAGGUCUUCGGAUUGUAAAGCACUGUAAGUUGGGAGGAAGGGCAGUAAGUUAAUACCGUGCUGUUUUGACGUUACCAACAGAAUAAGCACCGGCUAACUUCGUGC